This 512-nucleotide ribosomal RNA is filed under the name uncultured bacterium. RNAcentral's name for it is "partial 16S ribosomal RNA". It matches the Rfam family "Bacterial small subunit ribosomal RNA", at positions 28 to 523 of the family's 1533-position model. The record is from RNAcentral.
GACGAACGCUGGCGGCGUGCCUAAUACAUGCAAGUCGAGCGGACAGAAGGGAGCUUGCUCCCGGAAGUCAGCGGCGGACGGGUGAGUAACACGUGGGCAACCUGCCUGUAAGACUGGGAUAACUUCGGGAAACCGGAGCUAAUACCGGAUAGGUUCUUCCUCCGCAUGGGGGAAGAUGGAAAGACGGUUUCGGCUGUUACUUACAGAUGGGCCCGCGGCGCAUUAGCUAGUUGGUGGGGUAAUGGCCCACCAAGGCGACGAUGCGUAGCCGACGUGAGAGGGGGGUCGGCCACACUGGGACUGAGACACGGCCCAGACUCCUACGGGGGGCAGCAGUAGGGAAUCUUCCGCAAUGGACGAAAGUCUGACGGAGCAACGCCGCGUGAGCGAAGAAGGCCUUCGGGUCGUAAUGCUCUGUUGUUAGGGAAGAACAAGUGCCAGAGUAACUGCUGGCACCUUGACGGUACCUGACCAGAAAGCCACGGCUAACUACGUGCCAGCCGCCGCGGUAA